UACAGAGGAUGCAAGCGUUAUCCGGAAUGAUUGGGCGUAAAGCGUCUGUAGGUGGCUUUUUAAGUCCGCCGUCAAAUCCCAGGGCUCAACUCUGGACAGGCGGUGGAAACUACCAAGCUGGAGUACGGUAGGGGCAGAGGGAAUUUCCGGUGGAGCGGUGAAAUGCGUAGAGAUCGGAAAGAACGCCGGUGGCGAAAGCGACGUGCUGGACCCCUUCUGACGCUGAGGCGCGAAAGCCAGGGGAGCAAACGGG
Molecule: ribosomal RNA, 253 nt
Filed under: uncultured bacterium
Lineage: Bacteria
Description: partial 16S ribosomal RNA
Rfam family: Bacterial small subunit ribosomal RNA
Source: RNAcentral